CUGACCGUGCAAAGGUAGCAUAAUCAUUUGCCUUAUAAUUGAAGGCUGGUAUGAAUGGUUUGACAAGAAUAUAGCUGUCUCUUUAUAAUUUGCUAGAAUUUUAUUUGUAAGUGAAGAAGCUUACAUAAAAUUGAAGGACAAGAAGACCCUAUCGAGCUUUAAAAAAACUAACGGAUUAAGAAAUUAUUUAUAAAAAACAAUCCACUAGACAUUUUAGUUGGGGCGACUGAGGAACAAAAAAAGCUUCCUUUAAGGUAUUAGAUAAACGCACGAGUAUUGAUCCAGAAAUUUUGAUUAAAGGAAAUAGUUACCGUAGGGAUAACAGCAUAAUCUUUUUUAAGAGCCCAUAUCGAAAAAAAGGUUUGUGACCUCGAUGUUGGACCAGAAUAUCCUGAAGAUGUAGCAGUCUUUAAGGGUUGGUCUGUUCGACCAUUAAAAGUCUACGUG
RNAcentral lists this ribosomal RNA (447 nucleotides) under Babylonia areolata. RNAcentral's name for it is "partial 16S ribosomal RNA". It matches the Rfam family "Bacterial large subunit ribosomal RNA", at positions 1942 to 2602 of the family's 2925-position model. The record is from RNAcentral. Lineage: Eukaryota; Metazoa; Mollusca; Gastropoda; Neogastropoda; Buccinidae.